Molecule: RNase P RNA, 226 nt
Filed under: Planctomycetaceae bacterium
Lineage: Bacteria; Pseudomonadati; Planctomycetota; Planctomycetia; Planctomycetales; Planctomycetaceae
Description: partial RNase P RNA component class A
Rfam family: Bacterial RNase P class A
About the family: Ribonuclease P (RNase P) is a ubiquitous endoribonuclease, found in archaea, bacteria and eukarya as well as chloroplasts and mitochondria. Its best characterised activity is the generation of mature 5'-ends of tRNAs by cleaving the 5'-leader elements of precursor-tRNAs. Cellular RNase Ps are ribonucleoproteins.
Source: RNAcentral
AACGGUGAGGUAAGAGCUCACCAGCAUAUCAGGAGACUGGUAUGGCUAGGUAAACCCCAUUGGAAGCAAAGCCGAGCAGGAAAGAUGAUGGUUCGCCAUCGGGGAGUCGCUCGCUCUCCUUGAUUUCCGGGUAGGCUGCUUGAGAUGGCAAGCAAUUGUCGUCCUAGAUGAAUGGCCAUCGUCACUUCGGUGAUUACAGAACCCGGCUUAUGGUCCACCUCAGUCC